UACGUAGGGCGCAAGCGUUGUCCGGAAUUAUUGGGCGUAAAGAGCUCGUAGGCGGCUUGUCACGUCGGGUGUGAAAGCCCGGGGCUUAACCCCGGGUCUGCAUUCGAUACGGGCUAGCUAGAGUGUGGUAGGGGAGAUCGGAAUUCCUGGUGUAGCGGUGAAAUGCGCAGAUAUCAGGAGGAACACCGGUGGCGAAGGCGGAUCUCUGGGCCUUACCUGACGCUGAGACGCGAAAGCUAGGGGAGCGAACAGG
Molecule: ribosomal RNA, 253 nt
Filed under: uncultured bacterium
Lineage: Bacteria
Description: partial 16S ribosomal RNA
Rfam family: Bacterial small subunit ribosomal RNA
Source: RNAcentral